UCUCUUUGGGAUGCUCCUAGACAUGUCUCUAAAUCAGUAUACUGGAGUUCUGUGUCGCAUAUUAGGAAAGUUCUUAAACAUUCAGUCACUUGGCAAUUGGGGACCGGCAAUAUUUCCAUUUGGAAUCAACCUUGGUGUGAUCUCAAAGAUGAUAACUUCAAUUUCAUCAAAACUAACCCUAUGCCAUAUUUGGAAAGUUCUUAAACAUUCAGUCACUUGGCAAUUGGGGACCGGCAAUAUUUCCAUUUGGAAUCAACCUUGGUGUGAUCUCAAAGAUGAUAACUUCAAUUUCAUCAAAACUAACCAUAUGCCUAGUAAUCUACCCAUUAAAGUUGCAGAUUUGUGGAAUGAUGACAAAGAUUGGGAUGUUCAAAAACUCAAUUCCCUGUUUGAGCAGGAAGUAGUUCACAAAAUUUUACAGGUCCACAUUUCUCAAGGAAGCACAGAAGACAAACUCUGUUGGAAAUACUCAAAAAAGGUGAAUGCAAUACAAAAAAGCGCUUACAAGGAAUUCAUUAAAAGAGAGGAGCACAGGUACUCUCAGUUUGGAAAGAUAGAAAUUUGCCUCCUAAGGAUCAAGAGCAGUCAGAGCUGGAGCAUAGAAGAAUGGACAGCAUUCCCAAUGGAAACAGGUACCACUUUUCUAACGGAUAACUCCACCAUUGCUGAUACUGCAAAAAGGAGAAAUUUUCUAGAGGAGCCAGGUCACUGGAGUUUAAGGGCUUUGUGGACCCAAAUUAUCUCUUCCACUUCAAUUGAUCUUAUACAGGUUCGAUGGGUUCCAAGAGAAGUUAACAAGAUGGCCGACAAAUUAGCGAAGGAAGCCAAGUCCGGUACCAGGAGGAACUUUAUCCAAAAUUGUCAAAACAUUGAGCAUUCUGCUUAUCCUCAUAGAAGUUUUUAUGCUAGACUUCUGAAUGAUAACUUCAGAUCUCUUAACUGUACGAUCAACUAUGUACUCUGUUUUUAAGUUUUAAUAAUAUCCCCUGGUUUUC
Molecule: long non-coding RNA, 995 nt
Filed under: Oryza sativa Indica Group (long-grained rice)
Lineage: Eukaryota; Viridiplantae; Streptophyta; Magnoliopsida; Poales; Poaceae
Description: lncRNA OsMH63_06G013640
Source: RNAcentral